Long non-coding RNA from Neltuma alba, 374 nucleotides. RefSeq lists it as uncharacterized. Lineage: Eukaryota; Viridiplantae; Streptophyta; Magnoliopsida; Fabales; Fabaceae. The record is from RefSeq and is a predicted model, not a curated record. The transcript is spliced from 3 exons.
UAUAUUGGUUUAAUAUAAUGUCUGGCAUAGAAGCCAAAGCAGCCAACCAUUUUUCUACUGGUUGGAUGUAGGAGAAGGCAAAGAAGUGAAUCUGAGAGAUGUCCAAGGAGCAAACUUCAACACCAAUGCGUUAAAUAUCUUGGACCGAAAGAAAGGGAAGAAUAUGAAGUUAUUGUUGAAGGGGGCAAGCUGGUGUAUAGACAAAAUGGGAAGGUUCUCGAUACUAGAGAUAGGUCCAGAUGGAUAUUUGUUCUGAGCUCCACAAGGUCUUUGUAUGUGGGGCGAAGGCAGAUGGGUUUGUUUCAUCACUCCAGCUUCCUGGCUGGAGCUGUGCCCGCGGCAGCAGGAAGAUUAGUGGCUCAUGAGGGUGUUCU